AGUGAACGCUGGCGGUAGGCCUAACACAUGCAAGUCGAACGGCAGCACAGUAAGAGUUUGCUCUUACGGGUGGCGGGUGGCGGACGGGUGAGGAAUACAUCGGAAUCUACUUUUUCGUGGGGGAUAAGGUAGGGAAACUUAAGCUAAUACCGCAUACGACCUACGGGUGAAAGCAGGGGAUCUUCGGACCUUGUGCGAUUGAAUGAGCCGAUGUCGGAUUAGUUAGUUGGGGGGGUAAAGGCCCACCAAGGCGAGGAUCCGUAGCUGGUCGGAGAGGAUGAUAAGCCCCACUGGAACUGAGACACGGUCCAGACUACUACGGGAGGCAGCAGUGGGGAAUAUUAGACAAUGGGCGCAAGCCUGAUCCAGCCAUACCGCGUGGGUGAAGAAGACCUUCGGGGUGUAAAGCCCUUUUGUUGGGAAAGAAAAGCAGCAGAUUAAUACCCCGCUGGUCUGACGGUACCCAAAGAAUAAGCACCGGCUAACUUCGUG
RNAcentral lists this ribosomal RNA (492 nucleotides) under uncultured bacterium. RNAcentral describes it as "partial 16S ribosomal RNA". It matches the Rfam family "Bacterial small subunit ribosomal RNA", at positions 29 to 507 of the family's 1533-position model. The record is from RNAcentral.